This 530-nucleotide unclassified non-coding RNA is filed under the name Hevea brasiliensis (rubber tree). The record is from RNAcentral. Lineage: Eukaryota; Viridiplantae; Streptophyta; Magnoliopsida; Malpighiales; Euphorbiaceae.
CUCCUCCUUCGAGUUUCUGUAAGCUGCCCCUUUGUGCCUCCCUUUUCUCUCUAUGCAGUAGUAUUGAUUGGACAAUAGUGGUAGAUUAAGAACAGGAAUAAAGAGAACGCGAUUUAUAUAAACUUGUUGAUGCUUUCCAGUUUGUCUUGUGUAAUGAACUUUUAAAUUCUUAUUUUGAGGGAAGGGCAGGUUCCUUACCAGAUUGCUCUUGCACAAUCCAAAACAGCAAGUGGGUUGAUAAGCUUCUUCAUCCUGGAUUACCAGGAUACCAGAAUUUGGACCCUCAGGAGGAGGUAAUGAAAGAGCUGAAGGAUCUCUCUGAUACAUUGAAAGAGGCCUUGUCACAUACAUCUUAAAUUCCUUUUUCUGUGAUGUCUAAAAUGAGUAUUGAAUCAAAAUAGAUUGAGCAACCCUGGAAAUAUUGAACUCAAUAAGUUGUAGAACUAGAGAUUUGAGAUUGGAAUGCUAAGUCAACCUCCGGAAGAUCGUAUAUAUUCCUAAGUCAAAUUUCUAGGAAGUUCCAAUGCAAU